Long non-coding RNA from Protopterus annectens (West African lungfish), 1288 nucleotides. RefSeq lists it as uncharacterized. The record is from RefSeq and is a predicted model, not a curated record. NCBI's taxonomy places the organism in Eukaryota, Metazoa, Chordata, Ceratodontiformes, Protopteridae. The transcript has 3 exons.
AAUGCUCACUAUCACCAUCACCACAAAAUGUGUGGAAUGGCAGGCAGCAAAGUGAAAUGGGAUGCAGCUUUACAACGUAAUGUUUUGGAACUGGGAGAUGGAGAAGAAAAAGUCGUGCUCUGCUAACUGCAUGCUUUGUUUGUCUUUUUCAAAGUUGGCAACAUGGCGUGGAGACUGAUUUAUGAAAGUGAAUCUCUCAACUUUGCUAGAACUUUUCUAAACAGUGCUGGUAUACAUUUGGAACAUUUCUGAGGAGCUGCUCACCAUGCCAGUGCCUUGUACAGAUGCAAACAACUAGAAGCAAAUGUUCCCUAUAGAACCACCCACAAAGUGAUACAAUCUAAAGUAAAAUAUUGAAGAGAAGACUGGCCCUAGAACUCGGUGAUCUCUAUGGCAAACUACUUGUGACUCUCCUGAGAUCAGAACGGAUUCGACGUAUUGCAGUCCUAUUUGUUAUAUUGUUAAGUCAGUGGCUAUCUCAGGCUGCCGCCCUGGAACGCACUGAAGCAUUAUCCCAUCUGCUUAUAAAUAUUUUGUGUGGUGGUAUAGCAACUGCCUUUUAGAAUUCUAAAUGUCAUAUUUUAUUUUAUUUUAUUUUCACUUGUUUAUUAAUUUGAUCACUUAGUCAAAGAAAUCUACCAACCUCAUACAUCUAAAUCUCAUUGUUACAUAACUGUUCCUUAUCAUGGCCAGAUUUUGGGGCAAUAGUUGCAGCAUUUACAGUCUCUGGGUUGGAAAGUCAGUCAAUUGAAUCUAUUCAACUCUAAGCCAGAGUUAAAAAAAACUCCUGGCCCAGCACAAAGGUAUGCCUGUGUGCUAAGCAAAUAUACUUCUUUCAGAAUUUCUUUUGGCAAACUAUUGCUUCACAGUUACUCAUCUCCUCUUAUGUAUUUGUUUUUUUCCUUAACUGCUAUUUUGCUUUACUGACAUCAAAAUAAGAAAAUCAACUAAAUACUAGCUCAACAAUGUUGCAAAAUGCAAACAAAUUUAAGAAGGCAAUGUGCCUAACCCUGGAAACUUAGACGGGGCUGAGGAAAGGAAUAAAACCAAAGAUAGGUGAGAUAGGAAAAUUCACCAAACUGAAUGCAGACUUUCAAUGAAUAGCAAAAAGGCACAAAGAUGCCUACUUCAAUGACCAUUGCAAAAAAUGAAAGAUGAUAAUAAAAAGUGGAAGACGAGAUUUCAGCAAGAAGACUGGUGAUAUUAAGGGAAAUUUCCAGCAAAAAAUGAGGAUGAUAAAAUACAAAGAUGGGAGGCAUACCUCUCAACUUUCCAGAUUUUCACAGAA